This 575-nucleotide ribosomal RNA is filed under the name Acremonium alternatum. RNAcentral describes it as "eukaryotic LSU rRNA". The stretch from base 189 to 342 matches the Rfam family "5.8S ribosomal RNA". Lineage: Eukaryota; Fungi; Ascomycota; Sordariomycetes; Hypocreales; Bionectriaceae. The record is from RNAcentral.
UCCGUAGGGGUGACCUGCGGAGGGAUCAUUACCGAGUGUAAAAACUCCCAAACCAUUGUGAACCUACCACUGUUGCUUCGGCGGCCUCGCCCCGGGCGCGUUCGCGCGGCCCGGACCCAGGCGUCCGCCGGAGGCUCCAAACUCUUGUCUUUUAGUGUAUUUCUGAGUGGCAUAAGCAAAUAAAUCAAAACUUUCAGCAACGGAUCUCUUGGUUCUGGCAUCGAUGAAGAACGCAGCAAAAUGCGAUAAGUAAUGUGAAUUGCAGAAUUCAGUGAAUCAUCGAAUCUUUGAACGCACAUUGCGCCCGCCAGUAUUCUGGCGGGCAUGCCUGUCUGAGCGUCAUUUCAACCCUCAGGACCCGUUCGCGGGACCUGGCGUUGGGGAUCAGCCUGCCCCUGGCGGCGGCUGGCCCUGAAAUCCAGUGGCGGUUCCCUCGCGAACUCCUCCGUGCAGUAAUUAAACCUCUCGCGGCAGGAUAGCGGUUGAACCACGCCGUUAAACCCCCCACUUCUCAAGGUUGACCUCAGAUCAGGUAGGAAUACCCGCUGAACUUAAGCAUAUCAAUAAGCGGAGGA